RNAcentral lists this ribosomal RNA (721 nucleotides) under uncultured Pseudomonadaceae bacterium. RNAcentral describes it as "SSU rRNA". It matches the Rfam family "Bacterial small subunit ribosomal RNA", at positions 63 to 779 of the family's 1533-position model. The record is from RNAcentral. Lineage: Bacteria; Pseudomonadati; Pseudomonadota; Gammaproteobacteria; Pseudomonadales; Pseudomonadaceae.
CGAGCGGAUGAAGGGAGCUUGCUCCUGGAUUCAGCGGCGGACGGGUGAGUAAUGCCUAGGAAUCUGCCUGGUAGUGGGGGAUAACGUCCGGAAACGGGCGCUAAUACCGCAUACGUCCUGAGGGAGAAAGUGGGGGAUCUUCGGACCUCACGCUAUCAGAUGAGCCUAGGUCGGAUUAGCUAGUUGGUGGGGUAAAGGCCUACCAAGGCGACGAUCCGUAACUGGUCUGAGAGGAUGAUCAGUCACACUGGAACUGAGACACGGUCCAGACUCCUACGGGAGGCAGCAGUGGGGAAUAUUGGACAAUGGGCGAAAGCCUGAUCCAGCCAUGCCGCGUGUGUGAAGAAGGUCUUCGGAUUGUAAAGCACUUUAAGUUGGGAGGAAGGGCAGUAAGUUAAUACCUUGCUGUUUUGGCGUUACCAACAGAAUAAGCACCGGCUAACUUCGUGCCAGCAGCCGCGGUAAUACGAAGGGUGCAAGCGUUAAUCGGAAUUACUGGGCGUAAAGCGCGCGUAGGUGGUUCAGCAAGUUGGAUGUGAAAUCCCCGGGCUCAACCUGGGAACUGCAUCCAAAACUACUGAGCUAGAGUACGGUAGAGGGUGGUGGAAUUUCCUGUGUAGCGGUGAAAUGCGUAGAUAUAGGAAGGAACACCAGUGGCGAAGGCGACCACCUGGACUGAUACUGACACUGAGGUGCGAAAGCGUGGGGAGCAGACAGGAUU